AUGCCUAGCCGGGUGGGCGCUGACGAUGCCCGUGGCGGCCCCGGAGUGGGGGAGAUCGUGGACGCCAGCGGCGGCGUGCGCGAGAGAGCCGUGCCUCCUGGGAACCGUUCCGCGGCGCGGAAGACCGCGCGGUUCGCGGAGCCCGUCUCCGCGCCGCGCGGGAGCGGCAACGUCGACGACGACGACGGCGACGGCGACGACGGCGACGGCGUGGAGAUCACCUUCGACAAGCGGUACGACACGAUCGCGGUGCCCCGCGUGAGACCGGUGGCGCGCGGUGAGGACCCGUGCGUGAAGCUGCUGGCGCGGACGCCGGAGAAGCCGGAGUCCUCGUCCGGCCAUGCCGUGCUCAAGAACUCCUUGACGCGGAUCCAGCAGGAGACCCGGCGGGUCGCGUCCUUGAAACGCCGGGGAGGCGGCUUCGACAGGCCCAUGCCGUCCGCCCCCGCGCGCGCGCUCCAGGGUCUCAAGUUCGUCAGCGAGACACACGCCUCCAACGGAUGGACCGAGGCCGAGAGGUUCUACGACAGAAAUGUACGCCUCCCCCGCUCCAUGUUCGGCCAGUGCAUCGGUAUGAAAGAGGCCGCGUUCGCCGGCGAGCUGUUCGACACGCUGGGAAGGCGGCGGCGCAUCUCCGGGGACAGCAUCGACAGGGCGGAGCUGCGCGAGUUCUGGGAUCAAAUCUCCGACCCCAGCUACGAGAACCGCCUGCAGCUCUUCUUCGACAUGGUGGACAAGGACGCUGACGGGAGGAUCAGCCAGGUGGAGUUCAAACAGAUAAUUACAAUGAGCGCGUCGGCGAACCAGCUAACGGUGGGCGGACAGGACUUCGAGGAGUGUGCCCGGUUAAUCAUGGAGAAGUUGGACCCCGACGGCCUUGGCUACAUUGAGUUGUACGACCUAGAGACACUAUUGGUGAAAUUGUGGAAGGAACCCAAUCCUCUGAGGCGGUGGUACCGCCACGCCAGAUACUUCCUCAAGGACAAUUGGCGCCCCUGCUGGGUCGCGUCCUUGAACCGCCGGGGAGGCGGCUUCGACAGGUCCAUGCCGUCCGCCCCCGCGCGCGCGCUCGAGGGUCUCAAGUUCGUCAGCGGGACAGACGCCUCUGACGGAUGGACCGAAGCCAGGAGGUUCUUCGACAGAAAUGCACGCCUCCCCCGCUCCAUGUUCGGCCAGUGCAUCGGUAUGAAAGAGGCCGCUUUCGCCGGUGAGCUGUUCGACGCGCUGGGAAGGCGGUGUCACAUCUCCGGGGACAGCAUCGACAAGGCGGAGCUGCGCGAGUUCUGGGAUCAAAUCUCCGACUCCUGCUACGAGACCCGCCUGCAGCUCUUCUUCGGCAUGGUGGAUAAGGACGAUGACGGGAGGAUCAGCCAGAUAAUUACGUUGAGCGCGUCGGCGAACAAGCUAAAGGUGGGCGAACAGGACUCCGAGGAGUGUGCCCGGUUAAUCAUGGAGAAGUUGGACCCCGACGGCCUUGGCCACAUUGAGUUGUACGACCUAAAGACACUAUUGGUGGAAUUGUCGACGACGACCAACGGGGAUGAAUCGAGCAAUCCGAUGGCGGAACCCAAUCCUCUCAGGCGGUGGUACCACCACGCCAGAUACUUCCUCGAGGACAAUUGGCGCCGUUGUUGGGUGAUGCUCCUAUGGUUCUCCAUCUGCGCCGGUCUCUUUGCUUGGAAGUUCGUGCAGUACCGUCAUCGUGCGGUGUUCCAGGUGAUGGGCUACUGCGUGUGCGUGGCCAAGGGCGGUGCCGAGACGCUCAAGUUCAACAUGGCACUCACCCUCCUUCCCGUGUGCCGGAACGCCAUCACGUGGCUCCGGAGCCGCACCGUCGCUGGGCAGUUCGUGCCGUUCAACGACAACCUCAACUUCCACAAGGUGAUCGCGGUGGGGAUCUCCGCCGGGGCCGGUUUGCAUGUCUUCUCCCACCUAGCAUGCGACUUUCCGCGGCUGUUGCACGCCACCGACGACGAGUACAAGCCCAUGAAGCCGUUCUUCGGCGACGUCAAGCCGCCCAACUAUUGGUGGUUCUUGAAGGGCACGGAGGGGUGGACCGGGCUAGUGAUGUUGGUGCUCAUGGCCAUCGCCUUCACGCUCGCCACGGGGCGGUUCCGCAAUAGGAAACCCAGGCUUGCCAAGCCCAAGAAGCAGGAUGACAACCUCCCCCGGCACAAGAAGCGAGACAACCUCCCUAGGUUGCUCCACCGCCUCACCGAGUAUGGCGGCGCCUCACGCAACCGUCUCACUAUGCUCUUCUACGCCUUGCUCAAUCGUUUCACCGGGUACAACACCUUCUUGUACACACACCACCUCUUCAUCAUCGUCUACGUGCUGCUCAUCGUCCAUGGCCACUUCCUCUACCUCACCAAGAAGUGGCAAAAGAAGACGAGAGGACCGGAGGGGAUUGAGAGAAUUUUGACUUGCAUGGGGUUUAAUCUUUCUUGGAUCUCCUUCAAACCAAUGAUGUGGUACGUGCAGACGUGGAUGUACCUCGCGGUGCCGAUGAUCGUGUACGCGUGCGAACGACUGACCCGGACGCUGCGGUCGAGGGUGCGGGCGGUGCAGAAGGUCAAGGCGGUCGUGCACCCGGACCCGGCGGCCCUGUUGUCGCUGCACUUGUCCAAGCCGCAGGGGUUCAGGUACAAGAGCGGACAGUACAUCUUCGUCAAAUGCCCUGAUAUCUCGUCAUUCGAGUGGCACCCCUUCUCCAUCACAUCGGCGCCGGAGGACGACUACGUCAGCGUCCACAUCAAGGCGAUGGGCGACUGGACAAAAGACCUCAAGGACGCCUUCAAGGUUUGCGAGUCGUCGACGGAGGAGAAGAAGACCGAGAUUCUCCGAGUAGAGUACGACCAUGACAAGGCCAUGCCAACUCUGGGGGAUAGAAAAAAUCUCCUCCCUGGUCCAACCCGGUCUAGAUUUUCUUUUGCUCGUAUGGCAGGACGAAUUUCCACGUACCAACUGGCAUUCGUGACUGCCAUGUCCCCCCCGUUGUGUAUGAGAUACUCCAUUGUUUAUAUUUUCGGGAAGAUGGACGACCAUCAGUUGAGGUACCCGAAGGUGCUGAUUGACGGGCCGUACGGCGCGCCGGCACAGGACUACAAGCAGUACGACACCUUGCUACUGGUGGGACUCGGCAUCGGAGCCACACCCAUGAUCUCGAUCAUCAAGGACAUCAUCAACAACAUGAAGCGGCUUCCCGGGGACAUCGAGUCAGGCAACCCUGGCGACGGGAGCACGCCAUCAUCGUUCCGGACUCGCCGCGCCUACUUCUACUGGAUCACCCGGGAGCAAGAAUCCCUGGAGUGGUUCCGUGGGAUCAUGGACGAGGUGGCCGAGACGGACGAGCAGGGCGUCAUUGAGCUCCACGUCCACUGUACGAGCGUCCACGAGGAGGGCGACGCCCGGUCGGCGAUGCUCACUAUGGCCCAGUCCCUCAACCACGACGAGCACGGCAUUGACAUCAUCUCCGGCAGUCGAGUCAAGACCAGCUUCGGCCGAGCAAACUGGAGGGAAGUCUACCGACACAUAGCCCAGCGGAAUCAACGAAAACGUGUCGGAGUGUUCUACUGUGGCAUGCCGGCGCUGACGAAAGAGCUGCGCGAGCUUGCGAAGCUUUCCUCGAGAGAAACAAGCACAACAUUCGAGUUCCACAAGGAGAACUUUUAG
Molecule: ribosomal RNA, 3672 nt
Filed under: Triticum aestivum (bread wheat)
Lineage: Eukaryota; Viridiplantae; Streptophyta; Magnoliopsida; Poales; Poaceae
Description: partial small subunit ribosomal RNA
Source: RNAcentral